AAAACAUAGCUUAAAGAAUUUUUAUUUUAGGUUUAACCUGCUCAAUGAAUUAAAAUUUAAUAGCUGCGGUACCCUGACCGUACUAAGGUAGCAUAAUCAAUUGGCUUUUAAUUGGGGUCUGGAAUGAAAGGAUUUAUGGAAAAAACCUGUCUCAUUUUUUUUCUAUUAAACUUACUUUAUAAGUGCAAAAGCUUAUAUUAUAAAAAAAGACGAGAAGACCCUUGGAAUUUUGUUUUUGUUGGGGCAACGUAGAAUAAAUAAUAAUAUUCUUAAUUAAAUAAAAAAAGACAAAUAAUAUUUUGAUUUAUUAAAUUACCCAAGGGAUAACAGCAUAAUUUUUUACUAAGUUUGUGACCUCGAUGUUGGACUAGGAAAAUUAAUAAUAAGCCAUUAUUAGUUUAGGUUCUGUUCGAACUAAAAAUCCUACGUGAUCU
This 434-nucleotide ribosomal RNA is filed under the name Lapinura divae. RNAcentral's name for it is "partial 16S ribosomal RNA". It matches the Rfam family "Archaeal large subunit ribosomal RNA", at positions 1902 to 2675 of the family's 2987-position model. The record is from RNAcentral. Lineage: Eukaryota; Metazoa; Mollusca; Gastropoda; Runcinacea; Runcinidae.